UGAGUACGAGCGGCUACGGCCGCGAAGUGGAUGAUGUCAAGCUUCCAAGAAAAGCCCUAUACCCGUUAAGGCAUGAUGGCCUGUACCCGAAACCGACACAGGUGGGGUGGUAGAGAAUACCGAGGGGCGCGAGGUAACUCUCUCUAAGGAACUCGGCAAAAUGGCCCCGUAACUUCGGGAGAAGGGGUGCCACCGCGAGGUGGUCGCAGUGGAGAGGCCCAGGCGACUGUUUACCAAAAACACAGGUCACCGCUAAGUCGCAAGACGAUGUAUGGGGGCUGACGCCUGCCCAGUGCCGGAAGGUUAAGGAAGCUGGUCAGCGCAAGCGAAGCUGGCGACUGAAGCCCCGGUGAACGGCGGCCGUAACAAUAACGGUCCUAAGGUAGCGAAAUUCCUUGUCGGGUAAGUUCCGACCCGCACGAAGGGCGUAACGAUCUGGGCGCUGUCUCGGAGAGAGGCUCGGCGAAAUAGAAUUGCCUGUGAAGAUGCGGACUACGUGCACCCGGACAGAAAGACCCUAUGAAGCUUUACUGUAGCUUGGUAUUGUGCUCGGGCUCGGAAUGCGCAGGAUAGGUGGGAGGCUUUGAUCCAUUGCUUGCGGGUGAUGGUGAGCCACUGGUGAGAUACCACUCUUUCCGAGCUAGAGUCCUAACAGCAACCCGUUAUCCGGGUGCUGGACAGUAUCAGGUGGGCAGUUUGACUGGGGCGGUCGCCUCCUAAAAGGUAACGGAGGCGCGCAAAGGUCUGCUCAGGCUGGUUGGAAAUCAGCCGACGAGUGUAAAAGCAGAAGCAGGCUUGACUGUGAGACCUACAAGUCGAACAGGGAGGAAACUCGGCUUUAGUGAUCCGACGGUUCUGCGUGGAAGGGCCGUCGCUCAACGGAUAAAAGUUACUCUAAGGAUAACAGGCUGAUCUCCCCCAAGAGUUCACAUCGACGGGGAGGUUUGGCACCUCGAUGUCGGCUCAUCGCAACCUGGGCUGAAGUCGGUCCCAAGGGUUGGGCUGUUCGCCCAUUAAAGCGGUACGCGAGCUGGGUUCAGAACGUCGUGAGACAGUUCGGUCCAUAUCCGGUGCACGCGCAGGAAUAUUGAGAGGAUUUCUCCCUAGUACGAGAGGACCGGGAGGAACGCACCUCUGGUGUGCCAGUUAUCGUGCCAACGGUAAACGCUGGGUAGCCAUGUGCGGAGUGGAUAACCGCUGAAAGCAUCUAAGUGGGAAGCCCACCUCAAGAUGAGUAUUCCCAUGGCAUAAGCCAGUAAGGUCACGGGAAGAACACCCGUUGAUAGGCUCUACGUGGAAGCGCAGUAAUGUGUGAAGCGGAGGAGUACUAAUAGACCGAGGGCUUGAC
This 1348-nucleotide ribosomal RNA is filed under the name metagenome. RNAcentral's name for it is "bacterial LSU rRNA". It matches the Rfam family "Bacterial large subunit ribosomal RNA", at positions 1564 to 2925 of the family's 2925-position model. The record is from RNAcentral.